Long non-coding RNA from Marmota monax (woodchuck), 2209 nucleotides. RefSeq lists it as uncharacterized. The record is from RefSeq and is a predicted model, not a curated record. The transcript has 3 exons. NCBI's taxonomy places the organism in Eukaryota, Metazoa, Chordata, Mammalia, Rodentia, Sciuridae.
GGGCAGGCCACCUGAAGGCCUGAGAACCAGUGGCUCUGUUCGGAAGCCUAAGAAGCUUGCUUGCAAGGAAUCCAGCAGGCUGAGGGUUCGAAUCCCAGCUGCACCGCCCCCAGCUCUGUGACCUUGGCUAUGCCUCUCUGGCAUGAGAUGAGCAGUUUGUGCUGCUAGGUCUCAGACAGUUCAUUAUAGUGAUGGGAAACCAGCCUAGACCUCAUGGGUCAUGACGAAGGAGUGAACAGUGUGUGAGAGCAUCUGCAACCCUCUCUUCCAGCGAGGUUGAAAUACACAGGGCAUUGUUCUUCAGGACCUUCACUGUACCAGGCAAAGGAACACGAGAACUUUGUGCAUGUCACUGACCUCCCCCAUCCUUGGUAACCAAAACCAAAACCAAUGAUGAUGUGCUGCAGUUUUGAGGACAGACUUAGCAUUGGACAAGGGGCACGUGGCCCCUAAUGGAAGGGUGGAGGCUCCACCAGGGAUAGGCAGUGGGGGUGGGGGUGGGGGGAGAAGUGGCUGGGUUCUGGGUUUCAUCUGAAGAAUUUCCUCUUGGAUAGAUAUAGCGGGUGUGAGAUACCCAAAGGGACAUAAGAGAGUAUGUUCAUUUCCCAUGGCUGAGGUAACAAAGUGCCUUAAAUUGCGUGGCUCAUUACAGAAGUGUAUUCUCUGACAGCUCAGGUGGCUGGAAAUCUGAGAUCCAGGUGUCAGCGAGGACAGUUCCCUCUGGAAGGCCACAUGUUCUGGCCUCUCUGGCUCCUGGGGGUUCUGCCAGUGCUUAGCAUCCCUUGGCUUGUAGAUGCACCACUCCAAUCUCUGUUUCCAUGGUUACCCUGCAACCUUAGAGUUGGUCUCUAUGGUUACAUAGCUCUUCUCCCUACCCAUGAAUCUGGAUCUGAACACAUUUCUCUCUUAAGGACUCUGGUCAUUGGAGAAGGGCCCACCCCAGUCUGGAAUGAACUCAACCUAACUUGGCUAAGGCCAUUUUUCCAUACAAGGUCAUAUAUACUGGUUCCAGGUGGACAUGGAUUUGGCAGGGAUACUGUUCAAAGCAGUCCAUGUGUGUUUGUCUACAUUUUCAUGGAAAUGCAUUUUAAUCAUAUCAGGCUUAAGAACUCUCCCAAGAUGCCCCAUCUUGUCCAGGGGGUUGAGAGGGGACUCUACUGAGCCUUUGCAAGGCUCCUAAAAGAAAGAUUUUUAUUUAUUUAUUUAUUUUUGUAUCAGGGAUUGAACCCAGCAGUGCUUAGCCACGGAGCCACAUCCCUAGCCCCUUUUUAUUUUUUAUUUAUUUUUAUUUUGAGACAGGUUCUCACUAAGUUGAUUAGGGCCUGGCUAAGUUGCUGAGGCUGGCUUUGAACUUGCAAUCCUCCUGCCUCAGCCUCCCAAACCAUUGGGAUUACGGAGGUGUGCCAACACACCUGGCGGAAAAUAUGAUUUUUAUUAGUUUGGGCAAAAUUGUAUCAAUUGGGGCUGGACAUGGAGCUCAGUGGUUACCAUGUUCAUGUCCUGGGUGCCACAUCCAGCACUGAAGAAAAAAUAAAAAUCAAUGGAUACGCUCUUGAUGGAACUUGGUCGUGGGAACUCAGUCUCUCUCAUCAGAGAUAAAUCAGGUCCCUCCUGGGACUGCAGGGUGAUAGGAAUAGAUGCUCCAGUCCCUCCUGUCCUCCAGGCCUGUCAUCCAGGGGUGUGGUGUGGGAGGAGAACUGAUAUAGGAUUGUAAUUCUGCUAAUGAGGACAUGGGGGGGGGGGUGUGGCGGGGAGAGGCUGAUGUGCUAGACAGGGGCCACAGGCCUGCCAGAGCAGGGCCAGGGGCUACUCGGAAGAUAUGCAUUGAACCUCCCCCAUGAUGCCCUACUCUUGCAACCCUGCCCCCUGCCCAGAGAAAAGCUCCCAGAGUGUAUGAACAAACUGGGGGGCACCGUGAAAGACCUGCCUUUCCCAGGGCAGAGAGGGACCUUCAGCAUUCAGCUCUGCCUGCCUAGACAAGGAGACCCCCACCGCCACCCAGGGCCUCGGCAGCCCCGAAUUUUGCAAACCAAACACCUUCCUACUGAAUCCUUUCACAGCUGUGAGCAUCUCAGGUUGGCCAAGUGACCUUUCUUUCGACCGUGUUCAUUUUCCACCAAUGGCUCCCUCUAGCUAACCUUUUUAUGGGGUUGAUAAUUUGUUUUAAAAUCAAUAAUAAAAAUAAAACACCUGUGUGAUUUUGUGCAGA